UACGUAGGGUGCGAGCGUUAAUCGGAAUUACUGGGCGUAAAGCGUGCGCAGGCGGUUAUUUAAGACAGGUGUGAAAUCCCCGGGCUUAACCUGGGAAUUGCGCUUGUGACUGGAUAGCUAGAGUGCGGCAGAGGGGGGUGGAAUUCCACGUGUAGCAGUGAAAUGCGUAGAGAUGUGGAGGAACACCGAUGGCGAAGGCAGCCCCCUGGGCCAGCACUGACGCUCAUGCACGAAAGCGUGGGGAGCAAAC
Molecule: ribosomal RNA, 250 nt
Filed under: uncultured bacterium
Lineage: Bacteria
Description: partial 16S ribosomal RNA
Rfam family: Bacterial small subunit ribosomal RNA
Source: RNAcentral